AGAGAAGCAAAACAAGUGAUGUGGAGCAAACUACAAAAAGCGGUCUCAGUUCGGACUGAAGGCUGAAAUUCGCCUUCACGAAGUCGGAAUUGCUAGUAAUGGCAGGUCAGCAUACUGCCGUGAAUACGUUCCCGGGCCUUGUACACACCGCCCGUCACACCAUGAGAGUUAGGAAUACCCGAAGCCUGUGAGCUAACUUUUAGAGGCAGCAGUCGAAGGUAGAACUAAUGAUUGGGGUGAAGUCGUAACAAGGUAAC
Molecule: ribosomal RNA, 257 nt
Filed under: uncultured bacterium
Lineage: Bacteria
Description: partial 16S ribosomal RNA
Rfam family: Bacterial small subunit ribosomal RNA
Source: RNAcentral